AUUGAACGCUGGCGGCAGGCCUAACACAUGCAAGUCGAACGAGUGGCGAACGGGUGAGUAACACGUGGUAAUCUGCCUUACACAAGGGGAUAGCCUUUGGAAACGAAGAAUAAUACCCUAUAGUGUAAGAUGGACUUGCGUCUGAUUAGCUAGUUGGUGAGAUAAAAGCCCACCAAGGCGACGAUCAGUAGCCGGCUUGAGAGGGUGUACGGCCACACUGGAACGGAGACACGGUCCAGACUCCUACGGGAGGCAGCAGUGGGGAAUAUUGCACAAUGGGCGCAAGCCUGAUGCAGCCAUGCCGCGUGGAUGAAGAAGGCCUUCGGGUUGUAAAGUACUUUCAGCGGGGAGGCGUUACCCGCAGAAGAAGCACCGGCUAACUCCGUGCCAGCAGCCGCGGUAAUAC
This 406-nucleotide ribosomal RNA is filed under the name uncultured bacterium. Its description in RNAcentral is "partial 16S ribosomal RNA". It matches the Rfam family "Bacterial small subunit ribosomal RNA", at positions 30 to 526 of the family's 1533-position model. The record is from RNAcentral.